RNAcentral lists this ribosomal RNA (1310 nucleotides) under uncultured bacterium. RNAcentral describes it as "bacterial SSU rRNA". It matches the Rfam family "Bacterial small subunit ribosomal RNA", at positions 94 to 1440 of the family's 1533-position model. The record is from RNAcentral.
AGUGGCGGACGGGUGAGUAACGCGUGGGAAUCUGCCUUCANNNNNNNNAUAACAGAGGGAAACCUUUGCUAAUACCCCAUAUGCCUAUGGGUGAAAUGAAUUUCGCCUGAAGAUGAGCCCGCGUCUGAUUAGCUAGUUGGUGGGGUAAAGGCCUACCAAGGCGACGAUCAGUAGCUGGUCUGAGAGGAUGAUCAGCCACACUGGGACUGAGACACGGCCCAGACUCCUACGGGAGGCAGCAGUGGGGAAUUUUCCGCAAUGGGCGAAAGCCUGACGGAGCAACGCCGCGUGAGUGAUGAAGGCCCUUGGGUCGUAAAGCUCUUUUGUCAGGGACGAUAAUGACGGUACCUGAUGAAUAAGCAUCGGCUAACUCUGUGCCAGCAGCCGCGGUAAUACAGAGGAUGCAAGCGUUAUCCGGAAUUAUUGGGCGUAAAGCGUACGUAGGUGGCGAUUCAAGUCUGUGGUUAAAGCCUGCAGCUCAACUGCAGAAAGGCCCAUGGAAACUGAAACGCUAGAGUGCGAUAGAGGUAAGGGGAAUUCCCGGUGUAGCGGUGAAAUGUGGAGAUAUCGGGAAGAACACCAGCGGCGAAAGCGCCUUACUGGGUCGCAACUGACACUGAGGUACGAAAGCCAGGGGAGCAAAUGGGAUUAGAUACCCCAGUAGUCCUGGCCGUAAACGAUGGACACUAGGUGUUGCGCGUAUCGACCCGUGCAGUGCCGUAGCUAACGCGUUAAGUGUCCCGCCUGGGGAGUACGCACGCAAGUGUGAAACUCAAAGGAAUUGACGGGGGCCCGCACAAGCGGUGGAGCAUGUGGUUUAAUUCGAUGCAACGCGAAGAACCUUACCAGGGCUUGACAUACCGUGAAUUCUGGGGAAACUCGGAAGUGCCUUCGGGAACAUGGAUACAGGUGCUGCAUGGCUGUCGUCAGCUCGUGUCGUGAGAUGUUGGGUUAAGUCCCGCAACGAGCGCAACCCUCGUUUUCAGUUGCCAUCAUUAAGUUGGGCACUCUGGAGAGACUGCCGGUGACAAACCGGAGGAAGGUGGGGAUGACGUCAAGUCAGCAUGGCUCUUACGUCCUGGGCUACACACGUGCUACAAUGGGUCGGAUAAAGGGUAGCAAUCUCGCGAGAGGGAGCCAAUCCCAAAAACCGCCUCUCAGUUCGGAUUGUAGGCUGCAACUCGCCUACAUGAAGUCGGAAUCGCUAGUAAUCGCAGGUCAGCAUACUGCGGUGAAUACGUUCCCGGGCCUUGUACACACCGCCCGUCACACCAUGGAAGCUGGUCAUGCCCGAAGUCUGUAUUCUAACC